Molecule: ribosomal RNA, 716 nt
Filed under: uncultured bacterium
Lineage: Bacteria
Description: bacterial SSU rRNA
Rfam family: Bacterial small subunit ribosomal RNA
Source: RNAcentral
GAUCCUGGCUCAGGACGAACGCUGGCGGCGUGCUUAACACAUGCAAGUCGAGCGGAAAGGCCCUUCGGGGUACUCGAGCGGCGAACGGGUGAGUAACACGUGAGCAACCUGCCCUUAGCUCCGGGAUAGCUCCGGGAAACCGGAAUUAAUACCGGAUAUGACCACGGCCGACAUCUGCCGUGGUGGAAAGGAUUCCGGCUAAGGAUGGGCUCGCGGCCUAUCAGCUAGUUGGUGGGGUAAUGGCCCACCAAGGCGACGACGGGUAGCCGGCCUGAGAGGGCGACCGGCCACACUGGGACUGAGACACGGCCCAGACUCCUACGGGAGGCAGCAGUGGGGAAUAUUGCGCAAUGGGCGAAAGCCUGACGCAGCGACGCCGCGUGGGGGAUGAAGGCCUUCGGGUUGUAAACCCCUUUCAGCAGGGACGAAGCGAAAGUGACGGUACCUGCAGAAGAAGCGCCGGCUAACUACGUGCCAGCAGCCGCGGUAAUACGUAGGGCGCAAGCGUUGUCCGGAAUUAUUGGGCGUAAAGAGCUCGUAGGCGGUCUGUUGCGUCCGCUGUGAAAACCCAGGGCUUAUCCCUGGGCUUGCAGUGGAUACGGGCAGACUAGAGGCAGGUAGGGGAGAAUGGAAUUCCCGGUGUAGCGGUGAAAUGCGCAGAUAUCGGGAGGAACACCGGUGGCGAAGGCGGUUCUCUGGGCCUGACCUGACGCUGA